Molecule: small RNA, 530 nt
Filed under: Pan troglodytes (chimpanzee)
Lineage: Eukaryota; Metazoa; Chordata; Mammalia; Primates; Hominidae
Description: processed transcript
Source: RNAcentral
CCAUCUCAGCCCUCCAGAUCCUUCUGUUCUCCCUAGAUUGUCUACAACCUGUUGUCUCUGCGCUUCAACUCACGGAUCCGUGUGAAGACCUACACAGAUGAGCUGACGCCCAUUGAGUCUGCUGUCUCUGUGUUCAAGGCAGCCAACUGGUAUGAAAGGGAGAUCUGGGACAUGUUUGGAGUCUUCUUUGCUAACCACCCUGAUCUAAGAAGGAUCCUGACAGAUUAUGGCUUCGAGGGACAUCCUUUCCGGAAAGACUUUCCUCUAUCUGGCUAUGUUGAGUUACGUUAUGAUGAUGAAGUGAAGCGGGUGGUGGCAGAGCCGGUGGAGUUGGCCCAAGAGUUCCGCAAAUUUGACCUGAACAGCCCCUGGGAGGCUUUCCCAGUCUAUCGCCAACCCCCGGAGAGUCUCAAGCUUGAAGCCGGAGACAAGAAGCCUGAAGCCAAGUAGCUCCAGGGAAGGCAUGUGGAUCCUAGACAGCGCCUUAUCUAUGAUUGCGUGUCCGUGUAAAUAAAUUCCUACUUAGACUU